Molecule: ribosomal RNA, 484 nt
Filed under: uncultured bacterium
Lineage: Bacteria
Description: partial 16S ribosomal RNA
Rfam family: Bacterial small subunit ribosomal RNA
Source: RNAcentral
AUUGAACGCUGGCGGCAGGCCUAACACAUGCAAGUCGAGCGGAUGAAGGGAGCUUGCUCCUGGAUUCAGCGGCGGACGGGUGAGUAAUGCCUAGGAAUCUGCCUGGUAGUGGGGGAUAACGUCCGGAAACGGGCGCUAAUACCGCAUACGUCCUGAGGGAGAAAGUGGGGGAUCUUCGGACCUCACGCUAUCAGAUGCGCCUAGGUCGGAUUAGCUAGUUGGUGGGGUAAAGGCCUACCAAGGCGACGAUCCGUAACUGGUCUGAGAGGAUGAUCAGUCACACUGGAACUGAGACACGGUCCAGACUCCUACGGGAGGCAGCAGUGGGGAAUAUUGGACAAUGGACGAAAGCCUGAUCCAGCCAUGCCGCGUGUGUGAAGAAGGUCUUCGGAUUGUAAAGCACUUUAAGUUGGGAGGAAGGGAAGUAAGUUAAUAACUUGCUGUUUUGACGUUACCAACAGAAUAAGCACCGGCUAACUUCGUG